CCCUACAAAGCUUAUAGCAACCUUAGUUUGUUUCGUUAUUCCAAUUUAUUUGGGAAUUCGGCCGUACCGAACCAAACCACCCUUAUCAUGGCUAAAUCGCCAAAUUGCUUUGAAGUUUUGGCCCAUUGAAACAACUACAAAUGCACAAGCUCCCUUAGCACCACCCAGUUCCACCCACUCUUUCACACUACCAAAGCAAUUUGUGUAUUUGGACAAAGGAAAUCGUCAGGACGAGCCCAGAAAAGACAAUAAAUACAAUCUGGCCCCAAGCACACGCAAAAUUUCAUUAUGGCAUGCCAAUCAGGAGGUCACAGGCCACAGCCGCCGGAGUUGGUGUAUGUAAAUUGGCCAAACACGGCAUGUAUUACCAGAGGACAUCCCGCCCUCACAAUCGCAGGAUGUCCCUACAAAUGUCGAGUCCACAGUUAUUGACAUCCAAUAAGUGGGAUCUCAAAAUGCCCUCGUGCACAAAAAAAAAGGAUGCUGUCCAUCCGCUGGCCAAGCAGCCGAUCGACCUAUCGCCCCCUCUAAAUCACAACUGAAGGGAGCAUCAGAAAAUUCCGGCCCAGUACCGACGUCGCAAAAUUUCCGAACUGCGGGACCAAGCAAAUGGGGCAUUAUUCGGUCCUGCACUGUGGGGGUCAAAGGGCAUUUGAUUUAUGCCAACGUAACUGAGUUCACCGCAGCCUGCUGCCGUCAAAGGUAAAUGCGACUACCAACGGCGAUUGCCGCAAAUGCGGCGUUGAUUCGCAAGGCAACUAGGCUCCGAUUUGGAACAGCGAUGGCGAUGUCCAUCGCACAAUUAGCUAAUUUCACUCUACCCGCCGUCCAGCAAAUGAGUCUGUCCUUUUUGGGUUGAUCAGGAUGCCAAUGGUAAGGGUCGGUUGAGUUGAGAGUUUACGACCAUCGAAAGACAGCAAGCCAUUAAGGUAGUUGUGGCACGUUAAGUAGAACAAACUCAUAUCCCAAUAAUAAAGCCUACUACGGAAAUGUUAUAAAAC
Non-coding RNA from Drosophila melanogaster (fruit fly), 1001 nucleotides. NCBI's taxonomy places the organism in Eukaryota, Metazoa, Arthropoda, Insecta, Diptera, Drosophilidae. The record is from Ensembl.